RNAcentral lists this long non-coding RNA (2190 nucleotides) under Daucus carota (carrot). RNAcentral describes it as "long non-coding RNA (DCAR_LNC003023)". The record is from RNAcentral. Lineage: Eukaryota; Viridiplantae; Streptophyta; Magnoliopsida; Apiales; Apiaceae.
CGAUUAAUUGUACCAAAAUUUAAGGUAAUUACCCUUUAACUUAGCUCCUUUCUUAUAUUAAGAUUUGUAUACUUACUUUAAUGGUGAAUUCCCACUCAAGUGGAUCCUCUUUCUCUUUAUUCCUAUAUACUGAUGGGUUGAAAGAGCUAGCUGCGUAAAGAUUUUUAUUAAUAUUAAAACAAAACCUCAACUGUGUAUAAGCAGAGUCUUGUACGUUUCAACUAUCAUUUAUACAAAUUGGGGCUAGAGUUCUUAUACAAAUUAGGGCUUGUUGAUAGAUUGUGGUUAAUUGAUUAAGCUGGGUGUUGAAUUUGAUUUGGGGAGAUUAUAAAAUAUGUAGAAUAUAAAAUAAGGAUAUUAGGUGGAAGGAAGUAUAAUCUAAAAAGGAUGGUUGAUAUUAAUAAUAAUAAUCUUGAGUGAGAGAAUAGAAUCGGAUUUGAUUUAUGAAUAUUUUGAUAAGUAAUUUAAUUCGGUUUAUUAAUUAAAAGAAUUAGUGAUUUUCAUUUAACUAAGUGAAUAUAUAAGAGCAUAAGGUAAAGUUUAGAAUAGAUUGAAUAAAUAAAUAAUCAUUCGGAUAGUAGGCAUAAGUGGCUAACUCAUGGAGAUUAAUCAUAUUUUAGGCUUUAAUUAUAUAAUAAGGUUGGUGAAUAACAAAUAAUUUGAGUUAGUAAGGGUUGUGAGCAUGUAGAAAAGACUCCAUUACAAGAUUAGCAAUUUAAAUCAUUAAUAAAUGAUUAAGUGAACAAGCUAGAGUAGCUGGGAUGUUGGUCAAAAGAGCAGAUGAUUAAUUGAGGAAUAAGCGUGAAUAAUUAAUAAUUAAUAUAUCUAUAAGAAUAAAGAGAUUAAAUAUAAUAUUUUAAUUGGUUUAAAAAUAGUUGUUGAUUAAAUUCUUGAUAUUAUAAUAAUGAUAGGUUAUUUUGGGAUUCUUAUUUUUGAGAUUUCUAAAUUAUUAUUUUGCGUAACGUAGAAUAUAAUGUCUGGAAAAGCGCGCGGAGCCAAUUUAUAAGUAUUAAAUUUGGAAACAUUUCAAGCUAAGGACACCAGGCAAGUUCACUAUCCCUCUCUUGACGUGAAGUAUUUCGUGCCUAUUUGAUAAUUGUGUGAAAAGUGUUGACUGUGAAGAUAUUACAUUUCGUACCAAUGUGAAUCGAGAAAAUAUCUCCGCUUCAUUUCGAAGGCUUUAAAGAUAUUGUUCAUAUAUUACUUAUAUAAUAAUCCGAGCCCUCCCAUUGUACAGGGAUGAGCUGAUCCUAAUAACGAUAACAUUUUGAAUCUUCAAAACUUGAGGUGAAUACAUUGCAGCGAUGAUCUCACCACAAUUAACUUACUCCCUUUUUGGAGAUCAUCUUAUUCUUUGGAAUCUUGUUCUUUUAAUUAUCCCUCACUUCUACCUUCGGGUAAUCUUUGUUGAAAGGGUGCAUUGUUCGCACUUCUUUGGUAGAGAUGAGAAGUGUUUGUUUGGGAGAAUUUCCUUGUAUUCGGAGGAAUCUGUUCAAGCUGGUCAACACGAAUUUAUUAAAUUCGUGGUAGAGUUGAAUUUACUAUCUGGUAAGGCAGAUAGUUUAGGGUUACAAAUGUUAACCCUUAUGCUAGCAAAUGAGAGUGGUAGGUGUGUCUUGUGCGGUUACGAUCAGACUGCAAAGAUCACACAGGAGAACGGUAUUCACGAAAUGGUGCUGAUCGAGCCAUGUAGUGUUACCGAGAGGUGGAAGACCAGCGUUUUCUUUACUUGAACUUGUUUUGUCAUUUGAUGGUAGCUGCUUUGUUGCUUUAACUUGAAUUGUUUUCUAUGCCUUACGUGCAUAUUCUGUUGAUUGUUUUUUUGUUCUAUGUGGACUUGCUGAGCAAUUUGAUUGCUCAUUCUUGCAUCUAUUUUAUUCCUUUUUGAGCAGUAAAUAGUGAGUAUGGCACAACUCAAGGGAACCGCCUGGAAAUGGGUUUUUGACAAAAGCAGGGAAAAGGCGCAUCACCCAAGCUGAGACUGCUAGACUACGCCACUUGGUAGUACGAUCUAUAGUUAUUAUAAUAGUCUGAUAUCAGACUUCCCUUUAUGUAAUAAAGUUAGACUCGGUAGUAAUGUUGUAAGACGAUCGACCCUGGACUUGUGGGGCAAGAGUUGGUUGUAUAAUAUUAAUAUGUAAUACAAGUGUUGUUUUGAGCCAGAUGUUUAGUGACGGACCAGAUCUGCGG